RNAcentral lists this ribosomal RNA (496 nucleotides) under uncultured bacterium. Its description in RNAcentral is "partial 16S ribosomal RNA". It matches the Rfam family "Bacterial small subunit ribosomal RNA", at positions 28 to 507 of the family's 1533-position model. The record is from RNAcentral.
GAUGAACGCUGGCGGCGUGCCUAAUACAUGCAAGUCGAGCGAACGGACGAGAAGCUUGCUUCUCUGAUGUUAGCGGCGGACGGGUGAGUAACACGUGGAUAACCUACCUAUAAGACUGGGAUAACUUCGGGAAACCGGAGCUAAUACCGGAUAAUAUUUUGAACCGCAUGGUUCAAAAGUGAAAGACGGUCUUGCUGUCACUAUAGCUGGAUCCGCGCUGCAUUAGCUAGUUGGUAAGGUAACGGCUUACCAAGGCAACGAUGCAUAGCCGACCUGAGAGGGUGAUCGGCCACACUGGAACUGAGACACGGUCCAGACUCCUACGGGAGGCAGCAGUAGGGAAUCUUCCGCAAUGGGCGAAAGCCUGACGGAGCAACGCCGCGUGAGUGAUGAAGGUCUUCGGAUCGUAAAACUCUGUUAUUAGGGAAGAACAUAUGUGUAAGUAACUGUGCACAUCUUGACGGUACCUAAUCAGAAAGCCACGGCUAACUACGUG